This 501-nucleotide ribosomal RNA is filed under the name uncultured archaeon. RNAcentral describes it as "bacterial SSU rRNA". It matches the Rfam family "Archaeal small subunit ribosomal RNA", at positions 345 to 848 of the family's 1478-position model. The record is from RNAcentral.
AACCUCCUCAAUGCACUUACGUGCGAAGGGGCUACCUCGAGUGCCAUCUGAUGAAGGUGGCUUUUCCUAGGUCUAAAAAGCCUUGGGAAUAAGAGGGGGGCAAGACUGGUGUCAGCCGCCGCGGUAACACCAGCCCCUCGAGUGGUGGGGAUGAUUAUUGGGCCUAAAGCGUCCGUAGCCUGCCGAAUAAGUUCCCCGUUAAAUCCAGCGUCUCAAGCGUUGGACCGCGGGAAAUACUGUACGGCUAGAGAGUGGGAGAGGUCAGCGGUAUUCUGGGGGUAGGGGCGAAAUCCUUUGAUCCCCGGAGGACCACCAGUGGCGAAGGCUGCUGUCUAGAACACGUCUGACGGUCAGGGACGAAAGCUGGGGUAGCGAACCGGAUUAGAUACCCGGGUAGUCCCAGCCGUAAACGAUGCAUGCUAGGUGUUGGGUUGGCCACGAGCCACCCCAGUGCCGCAGGGAAGCCGUUAAGCAUGCCGCCUGGGAAGUACGAUCGCAAGG